CCUACGGGAGGCAGCAGUGGGGAAUAUUGCACAAUGGGGGAAACCCUGAUGCAGCGACGCCGCGUGAGUGAAGAAGUAUUUCGGUAUGUAAAGCUCUAUCAGCAGGGAAGAAAAUGACGGUAACUGAUUAAGAAGCCCCGGCUAACUACGUGCCAGCAGCCGCGGUAAUACGUACGGGGCAAGCGUUAUCCGGAUUUAAUGGGUGGAAAGGGAGCGUAGACGGCAGCACAAAUCUGGAGGGAAAUGCCGGGGCUUAACCCCGGAACUGCUUUGGAAACUGUGCAGCUAGAGUGCAGGAGAGGUAAGUGGAAUUCCUAGUGUAGCGGUGAAAUGCGUAGAUAUUAGGAGGAACACCAGUGGCGAAGGCGGCUUACUGGACUGUAACUGACGUUGAGGCUCGAAAGCGUGGGGAGCAAACAGGAUUAGAUACCCCAGUAGUC
This 440-nucleotide ribosomal RNA is filed under the name uncultured bacterium. RNAcentral describes it as "partial 16S ribosomal RNA". It matches the Rfam family "Bacterial small subunit ribosomal RNA", at positions 338 to 795 of the family's 1533-position model. The record is from RNAcentral.